RNAcentral lists this long non-coding RNA (430 nucleotides) under Mustela putorius furo (domestic ferret). RNAcentral describes it as "lncRNA (ENSMPUG00000025952.1)". The record is from RNAcentral. Lineage: Eukaryota; Metazoa; Chordata; Mammalia; Carnivora; Mustelidae.
GGAUGCUACACACAGCUGUGGGGAGCUCCACUGUCUAGGACAUUAGAGACACACAAUCACCUGAAGGAAAAUCACAUCCUGAAUUUUCUUUGAUAAUGGGUUGGCCCUCGGACUCUGGAAUCUGGGUAAUAUUUUGGCGGCUGGUCCUAUACCUCUGACAUCAUUUCUUCAUUCCUUUGGCAUUCACUGCAGCAGUGGAAAGAUUCGGUUAGAAUCAGAGAACGGAUUUUGGCUCUUACAACUUGCUGUGUGGCCUGGGGUAAGUCCCUUGCCAUCUCUGAACCUCAGGAAUAGGACUAGAUUCUUGGCCACACCAAUGUCAUUCACGGAGUUCAAACAGUUAUUCAGACAACUCCCCAUUAACCAGGAGAUUUUUACCCCCAUGAUGAAACCCUAAAGGCUGGUAUCCUUUAUAAAGUCUGUAGUUUGA